CAACGUAAACAACCUGCCUUCAGGAUGGGGACAACAGACGGAAACGACUGCUAAUACCGAAUAAGUUCCAAGAGCCGCAUGGCCCAUGGAAGAAAAGGUGGCCUCUACCUGUAAGCCAUCGCCUGAAGAGGGGUUUGCGUCUGAUUAGCUGGUUGGAGGGGUAACGGCCCACCAAGGCGACGAUCAGUAGCCGGUCUGAGAGGAUGAACGGCCACACUGGAACUGAGACACGGUCCAG
Molecule: ribosomal RNA, 238 nt
Filed under: uncultured bacterium
Lineage: Bacteria
Description: partial 16S ribosomal RNA
Rfam family: Bacterial small subunit ribosomal RNA
Source: RNAcentral